This 21-nucleotide non-coding RNA is filed under the name Caenorhabditis elegans. Lineage: Eukaryota; Metazoa; Nematoda; Chromadorea; Rhabditida; Rhabditidae. The record is from RNAcentral.
UAUGGAGUCGGUAUAUUUUGA